This 468-nucleotide ribosomal RNA is filed under the name uncultured bacterium. RNAcentral describes it as "partial 16S ribosomal RNA". It matches the Rfam family "Bacterial small subunit ribosomal RNA", at positions 28 to 507 of the family's 1533-position model. The record is from RNAcentral.
GACGAACGCUGGCGGCGUGCCUAAUACAUGCAAGUCGAACGGAAGGGCCCUGAUCUUGUGGGGUGCUCGAGUGGCGAACGGGUGAGUGACACGUGUGUAACCUGCCCUUGACUUUGGGAUAUCUUCAGGAAACUGGGGCUAAUACCGGAUAGGAUCUCCUGCAGCAUGUUGGGGGUUGGAAAGUUACGGCGGUGGGGGAUGGACUGGCGGCUUAUCAGCUUGUUGGUGUGGUAGGGGCUUACCAAGUGUACGACGGAUAGCCGGCCUGGGAGGGGGACCGGCGUCAAUGGGACUGCGAUAGGGCCCAGACGCGUACGGGAGGCAGUGGUGGGGAAUCUUACGCAGUAGCCCGAAGUCAGAUACAACAACGCUGCGUGCGGAAUGCCCGCUUACUAGUUGUAAACCGCUGUGUCCUGUGACGAAGCGUGAGUGACGGUAACGAGUCAAGAAGCAACGGCUAACUACGUG